RNAcentral lists this unclassified non-coding RNA (539 nucleotides) under Hevea brasiliensis (rubber tree). The record is from RNAcentral. Lineage: Eukaryota; Viridiplantae; Streptophyta; Magnoliopsida; Malpighiales; Euphorbiaceae.
GUUGUAAAUCUUGAAUCGGAUCGGAGAUAUGGCUCAGAGGACCGAGAAGGAGGAGACGGAGUUGAAGGUACCGGAGACCAUCACGUUGUGCGUCAACAACUGCGGAUUCACCGGUAAUCCGACCACCAAUAACAUGUGCCAGAAGUGCUUUAACGCUACAACGGCGACAGCAACUACCACCGCCACCUCGUCUUCAAAUAAUGGAAUAUCCGCGUCUCGGAAGUUGUCCGGUGAGAAAAGCUCGAGAUCUAGAUCUCGAUCGCCUGUACUAAUGGAUUCCGUUCGUGACAGUAGCAGGAAUAUGUCCAUGGAUCGGUUCAAAUCUGAGGAAUCUGCCAAGCGUCAGGUGAAUCGAUGCUCCGGAUGCAGAAAGAGAGUCGGAUUGACCGGAUUCCGGUGCCGAUGUGGGGAGCUGUUUUGCGCUGAGCACCGGUACUCCGAUCGCCAUGAUUGCAGCUUCGAUUACAAGGCCGCCGGUCGUGAUGCGAUAGCAAGGGAAAAUCCAGUCGUCAAAGCGCCGAAGAUCGUUAGAGUCUGAU